GAUUUUCUCGACAUUUUAAAUGAAUAAUAAUAAUGGAAACGUCAAGGGCGUUAGGCGAUUUUCAAUUAUGAGAUAUAGUAUUCGCUAAGUCGUUUAUACGACUAGUGAUAUUGAAUACGUAAACAAGUAUAAAAUGAAACUGAAGUAUAAAACCUAAAAGUAUUAUACGUAUAAGAAUACGAGAAUCACGUCUAACUAUUAACGAUUUAUCAGACGUGUCAGCGAGUAGUGGAAGCAGUAGAGGCGGACUAGCGAGAGCGUACUAUCAAAUCGAUCAUAUCAUUUCUUGGAUUGCGGUCACUACGUGUCAGCGAGUAGUGGAAGCAGUAGAGGCGGACUAGCGAGAGCGUACUAUCAAAUCGAUCAUAUCAUUUCUUGGAUUGCGGUCACUGUGCUUAGCUUGUGGACUUAGCUAGAGGCCAAUUUUGAAGUCCAGAAGUCAGCUGUAUAUAUUAGUUUCUGACUUCUGUGAGUGCUACAGUAGUGGUCCUGUGUCAA
Long non-coding RNA from Mercurialis annua (annual mercury), 498 nucleotides. RefSeq lists it as uncharacterized. Lineage: Eukaryota; Viridiplantae; Streptophyta; Magnoliopsida; Malpighiales; Euphorbiaceae. The transcript is spliced from 3 exons. The record is from RefSeq and is a predicted model, not a curated record.